ACGGGCGGCCAACCGGCCCGGACGAAACGCGGUGCGUCCCACCCUGGAAAUCAAAUUUGAAUAACCGUUUUCCUCCGUUUCGUUCUUUGCUGGUACAGCGCUCGGUUUUGGUGGUAGAAAAGUGCCAUCAUUGGGGCCCUGUUAAGUGGGCCCCCAACGCAAAGAGCUCGCCGAAAGGCGAAGUGAAUCACAAGAAGCAUGGAGCAGUUCGAGCAGCUGCUAACGUGCGCGAUUUGCCUUGACCGGUACAGAAAUCCAAAGCUGCUACCAUGCCAGCACAGUUUUUGCAUGGAACCCUGCAUGGAUGGGCUGGUCGACUACGUUCGACGACAAGUGAAAUGCCCGGAGUGCCGAGCAGAGCAUCGCAUCCCAUACCAGGGUGUUCAAGCCUUCCCAACGAACGUGACGCUCCAGCGAUUCCUCGAGCUGCACAUCGAGAUCACAGGCGAACUUCCGGAUCCGACGAGCGGUCAGACGAUGGAAAGAUGCGGUGUCUGUUCCGAAAAGAGUUACUGCUCUCACUGCGUUCACUGCGACAAAAAAUGUUGCUCCGAAUGCAAGGACGCCCACAUGGACAUCUUGAGGCGUGAGAUAACUCGCAUUAAUUCACAGGUGCGGAGGGGCCUGCAUAGACUCCAGGACGCCCUGGCCCUAGUCGAGAAGAACACCCUUGGUCUCCAAACAAACUGCACGUCCGUUUCGGAGGAGAUAGACGAGUUCUACCGACGUCUCACCAAGGCGCUGAAAGACCGCACCGACUAUCUGAGAAACGAGGUGGACCGCUAUCUGGGCACGGAGCUCAGAGGGCUCGUCCACCUCAAGGAAAAUCUCGAGCUUGAAAUUUCGAACAUACAGAGCAACUGCGACCUCGCCGAUGCCCACAUAAACGAAAACGUCCCGUGGGAUGACGCUGAGCUGCUUGACACCAAGGAACUCUUUCUACGCACCGUCGAGUUCAUCAGAAACUUCGAGUAUGAAGCAGGAGACUACAGUCGAAGGGUGCGCUUCAUGCUGCCUCACGAACCAAACCAGAUGGUGCUGCACUUAGCCGGUUACGGGGAAUUGAACAUCAAACCCGAGACCGGAAGUGGCAACAUGCUGGGAGGAUCCGGAGGACUUGCGCCUCCCGGAGGACCUCAGGGUCUUAUGAGGAGUAAAAGCGAUCACCGCCUCGCCUCUCAGUAUCGCCAACAAGAGGAUGAACGCACCCCGAGGAGCCGCUACGUUCCCGAUUACGAGUACGAAACGCCAGACUACGAGCCGCCCCGAAACAAAUCUCGGUACAGGAGUCGAUUCAUGCGCCAACGAGACGCGGAGGAUUCCGACGGAGAUACGAGGGCCGUCAGGUUCACGGGGGCGCAAACGGAAUUGACGGGGGGAGCUGCGCCGACCCGAGAGAAGGUCCUGGAUACGGAGGAUGCGGGAAAAGGACCGCUGUCUGGUAUUUUCCGGCUUACGGACUCGCCCCGUGUAAUGCUCAAGCUGCAGGAAUGCGAGCGCGUUGGGAAGAAGAAGAAGGAGGAAGUUCCCGCGGCCACGCAACCCGCGCAGCCACCGAAACCUCAGGUCCAAGUGAGGAAGGCGCCACCCGCUGCUGCCGCAAGGCAGGUAAGCGAGGACGACGAGAUAUCGAGGAUCAAAAAGCAGAACAAAAACGCACCGUCUUCCUCGGAAACGGCGUUAGCAGAAGUCCAUCCCCCAACUUCCGUCACUAUUCCGACAGUCCCUCAACCGAGGGAACCGGCGGAACGCGAAUCUGAGGAAUCGAUUAGGAGAACUUCGGCCGCUAGAAGGACAUCAGCGCAGGAUGCGCAUCCGCCGGCAACUCGAAGCGCUUCCUCCGACUCGAGCACCGGUUCGGAAAGCUCGACGGGUUCCGGUAUCCGAAGCACCGGUGCUCCGUUCACGGCCGAAGAGAUGAAGCAGAGAUACUUGUCUCGAGCACCGGCGACAGGAACGACGACAACCGUAUCGGCAUCACCAAAUCCGCCGGCGAACAUCCCCCGAGAGGCGGCGGCUCCGACGACGACGACGACGACGACGACGACAACGCCGCAGAGACCGUUUCAGAGUCGUUUUUUAGGCGGAGGUAACCGUGCCGCACCGGCACCGCCACCUCCGAGGGAAGAACCGGCGAAGAAAGAAGAGGAGGAGGAAGAGGAGACGACAAGCUCCUCCGAGGAGACCGACUCCGAAACGGAGGAGGAAUCCGAGACGGAAAAUCCCUCGACACCCACCCAGAGCUCGGCUCCAUCCGCUAGUCAAAAGACGUCCGGGGAAUCAGCAAUGGCAAGGACCGACAUCGGGGCGCUUCUGGCUCGAAGUGCGGAAGCCCGACGAGGGAGUAAGGAGGAAUCACCUUCCACCAGGUACACGUCGUCAAGGGGAAGUCCCGCCCAUUCAACAACGACAUCAUCGGCGGCGCCGACCCCGAGCGCGACCUCUGGCGGCUACACCAGCAGGUUCGUAGCAAACGAUGACAUUCACCACUUCAAUUAUUGUACCAAUAACACUCUCGACGAUAUCGUUGAAUGCGAGCCCGACGAGGUAGGCGACGACUCGCCGCCUUCAAUUAACGACGGCGAGAAAUCGAACUCAGAUAAUAAUAAUGUUACUACUACACACGUAAAAAGCUCGCUGGUAAACGUUAGUGAAAAUAAAUCGAGUGACGAAAAUGAGGAACAGCUGGCGAUUGCCACUGCGACACGAUUAAGUAACGGCGUCGAUAAAGUCGCAACCGAUCCGAACGCGUCUUCGGUCGAUUCCUCUUCCCCCGUGAUUAGAGGCGCUGCCGUCGCUUCGCCCGACCCGAAAAGUCGCCUCGUUCGCCGCGAUACCGUCGGUGAAAACGAGUUCGACUCGAACGGAUGGCGCGUGGAUUCCCCGGAGCCAAAAAACCGCCCCCCUAUUUCCGACGCGAGUGACGUCACGCCGAAGGACGUCGAAGAGGAGAAAGCUUCGGCCGAUCGGCCGAAAGGACGAACGAUCGCCUACAAAAAGCGGGAAAAGUCACCGACCCUGGGCAGCAACGGAUGGCUGAUCGACAGUUCCGACGCCGAGGAAUUCAACGUCAGUUCACGGGAACCGGAAACGACCUCGGAAGUAUGGAAGAAGAGCGCGGAGUCCGAGAGCAACGACGAGCGAGAUUCGGGGGGCGAAGAAUCUGCCGAGAAGAGUGAACCGGAAGUUGAGGAGCUAGACGAAGCUUUGGGAAAGGGGGAGAACGAUGACAAGAACAACAAUAACAGCAACAACAACAACAAUGCGGACAACGUGUCGAUGAUGAACGAACGAAACGAUCCCGAAGACGACGAGGAGGAAGAAGAGGACCGGGUGACUUCGAGCGGAAGUUCGUCGGACGAGGAUGGAUCGACGAACUCGGUUGCUAACUCCGAGGGUAAUGUCGCAGCCGGAGAAGCGCCGAUUGACGCGAAGAUAGAAGUUGGUCCGAGUGAUAAUGUGGUUUUGGAAAAUGUGAAAGGGGACUCGAAAAUAAGGGAUGAUAACGAGCUAGAUAGCGGUGACGGAAGUUUGAACGACUCGAGCACGGGAGAUAAAUUGACGUCGGUAAGGGGAAAUGAAGGUUACGAAAUUGAGGAAACGUUAGAGAGUGAAUUAUCGACGGUCAAUGAGGUCCACGAUAAGGAUGACGAGGCUGACGAGUUGACGGACGGCCAUCGCGGCUCUAAUGAUAACGAUAACGACGGCGUAAAGAGGAUCGCUAAAUAUCGUUAUGGGAAAAAUGCGCCCGAUUCGAACGAGGCCGGUGCCGAUGACGGCGAGUUAUUGAUAGGCGCAGCAGCUGUCGUAAAAAACGAUUCCUUGAAACCGAACGUUGCUUCGGGGGCAAACCAAUCCGUUAAGUCUGAAAAAAGUGACGAAAGUCUAGACAUAGGUUCCUCAACAAGAGCAGAAGCCAGGCGGCCAUGGCGGCAGCGCGUGAACCGGAUCCGGAGCCCGAGCCCCACCCGACGAUGUCGCGUUACGCGGCCCUCAAGGAACGCAGACAGCGUCUGGCGCGCUCGAGAAGCUCCCACAACUUCGGGGGCGACGACCUGGACCUGGACGACGACCCGCCCUCGCCCACAACCCAGUCGCCCAACGCCUACCUGGCGGCCAAGUACGGGGCCGGUAGCGAGCUGGCGCGAAGUCGCAGCACGCACGCCCUCAAGUCCAGGGAACCGAGUCCCGACCGUGACCACAGGGACCGGGACCGGGACCGUGGAGCCACGGAGAAGGAUGGCGCUGCCCUUAGCUCCUGGGCUCGCUACCUCAAGAACAAGUACGGAAACCGCACCACCAAGGACAAGGAGCCACCUUCCGCCUCUGCAGCGGCCGCCUCUUCGAGUGCGAGUGCCGCCUCGCGAAGGCUUUCGCUAGGGUUGCCACUGAGACACACCGGCCAGACCUCAUUCGAAUCUUCUGACGAGGACCAAAAAAACCCGUCAGGCUCCCCCACAUCCCCUACAGCAGCUCCCGCUAUUCACGCGGCAGCAGGUUCCUCCACUAGAGGUCAGUACCUGCUGAAGCGGCGACAGCUGUUCAAAUUUGGGAUGCGGGGGAGCGAAGCCGGAUGCUUUACCUGGCCGCGAGGCCUGGCCGUCGGCCCUGACAAUUCCAUCGUCGUAGCCGACAGCUCCAACCAUCGAAUU
This 4652-nucleotide unclassified non-coding RNA is filed under the name Neodiprion lecontei (redheaded pine sawfly). RNAcentral's name for it is "rING finger protein nhl-1, transcript variant X4". The record is from RNAcentral. Lineage: Eukaryota; Metazoa; Arthropoda; Insecta; Hymenoptera; Diprionidae.